RNAcentral lists this ribosomal RNA (440 nucleotides) under uncultured Herminiimonas sp. Its description in RNAcentral is "bacterial SSU rRNA". It matches the Rfam family "Bacterial small subunit ribosomal RNA", at positions 358 to 790 of the family's 1533-position model. The record is from RNAcentral. Lineage: Bacteria; Pseudomonadati; Pseudomonadota; Betaproteobacteria; Burkholderiales; Oxalobacteraceae.
GGAAUUUUGGACAAUGGGCGCAAGCCUGAUCCAGCAAUGCCGCGUGAGUGAAGAAGGCCUUCGGGUUGUAAAGCUCUUUUGUCAGGGAAGAAACGGUGGACUCUAAUACAGAUCACUAAUGACGGUACCUGAAGAAUAAGCACCGGCUAACUACGUGCCAGCAGCCGCGGUAAUACGUAGGGUGCAAGCGUUAAUCGGAAUUACUGGGCGUAAAGCGUGCGCAGGCGGUUUGGUAAGACAGAUGUGAAAUCCCCGGGCUCAACCUGGGAAUUGCAUUUGUGACUGCCCGACUAGAGUGUGUCAGAGGGGGGUAGAAUUCCACGUGUAGCAGUGAAAUGCGUAGAGAUGUGGAGGAAUACCGAUGGCGAAGGCAGCCCCCUGGGAUAACACUGACGCUCAUGCACGAAAGCGUGGGGAGCAAACAGGAUUAGAUACCCCGG